UUCAUCGAGAGUAUAUUUAGCCGCAUCAAACUGGUAUCUUGGUAGAAUCUUUUAACGUAAGCCUCGAGAACAGAACUCGAAUUUUUGCAGAUUCAAGAGGCUCAGUGAGUCGAACUCAAAAACCAUUCUAGAAAACCAAAACUGGCGGCCGAGUUGAAGUACGAGAUCUCUCAGAACGCUUAUAUGAAGCUGGUUCUACACGCUCUGAAGCACAAGAGCACGGCGGUCAAUGGUAUAUUACUCGGCCGAGUCAACCCACAAAAUGAAAAUGUCUUUGAGAUCGUUGACUCGGUCCUUCUCUUCCACUCUAAUAUUGCUUUACUGCCUCCUCUCGAGAUCGCCCUCACCAUGGGCUAGGCAUUUGGCAAAGAACAUCAGUAAUCAUGUUUUCCGGUACUUUCCUCAGGCUGCCGUUCUUUUGGUAUAUGUUAAAAUUGGAUAUAUUGUUAUAUACUUAUAUAUGCUGCUUUGUUUGUUAUGGUUGGUCUCAAUUGUUUCCUGUUUUUUGGGUUUCGUCUUCUGUAGUUAGAUAACAAAAAGCUUGAAGCUGUGCCCAAGGGAAAAGGUCAGAAUCCCAUGAUGCAGUUUCGUGUUCACUCGGUGUUUUAAGUGUUGCCUUUUGGUUUUUUUCCAUUCAUAUGUGGGUUUCUGAAGUAUUCCCGUUUUCCAUUAAUUUUAAGAAACAAAUUUCGUGGAUGUGGAAUUGUCCGGAGACAUUCCCCCCCAUGUGUUGUGUCUCUGGAUAUCUUAUAGGUGACUUAUAUUAGCUGUUCCUUUGUGUGUGGACUUUCAACUUUGCUUUAAAUGUCUUUGGAGACCAUCAGAUUUUGUGAUGUAUUUACGGGGUAUAUUACCUCCUGUGCUACUGCAAAUGUUUAACCCAGAUCACAUUUUUCGAA
This is a long non-coding RNA of Hibiscus syriacus, 899 nucleotides long. RefSeq lists it as uncharacterized. The record is from RefSeq and is a predicted model, not a curated record. The transcript is spliced from 2 exons. Lineage: Eukaryota; Viridiplantae; Streptophyta; Magnoliopsida; Malvales; Malvaceae.